This 598-nucleotide ribosomal RNA is filed under the name Staphylococcus epidermidis. RNAcentral describes it as "bacterial SSU rRNA". It matches the Rfam family "Bacterial small subunit ribosomal RNA", at positions 61 to 642 of the family's 1533-position model. The record is from RNAcentral. Lineage: Bacteria; Bacillati; Bacillota; Bacilli; Caryophanales; Staphylococcaceae.
GUCGAGCGACAGACGAGGAGCUUGCUCCUCUGACGUUAGCGGCGGACGGGUGAGUAACACGUGGAUAACCUACCUAUAAGACUGGGAUAACUUCGGGAAACCGGAGCUAAUACCGGAUAAUAUAUUGAACCGCAUGGUUCAAUAGUGAAAGACGGUUUUGCUGUCACUUAUAGAUGGAUCCGCGCCGCAUUAGCUAGUUGGUAAGGUAACGGCUUACCAAGGCAACGAUGCGUAGCCGACCUGAGAGGGUGAUCGGCCACACUGGAACUGAGACACGGUCCAGACUCCUACGGGAGGCAGCAGUAGGGAAUCUUCCGCAAUGGGCGAAAGCCUGACGGAGCAACGCCGCGUGAGUGAUGAAGGUCUUCGGAUCGUAAAACUCUGUUAUUAGGGAAGAACAAAUGUGUAAGUAACUAUGCACGUCUUGACGGUACCUAAUCAGAAAGCCACGGCUAACUACGUGCCAGCAGCCGCGGUAAUACGUAGGUGGCAAGCGUUAUCCGGAAUUAUUGGGCGUAAAGCGCGCGUAGGCGGUUUUUUAAGUCUGAUGUGAAAGCCCACGGCUCAACCGUGGAGGGUCAUUGGAAACUGGAAAACU